UACGUAGGGGGCAAGCGUUGUCCGGAUUUAUUGGGCGUAAAGAGCGUGUAGGCGGCUUUACAGGUCCGUUGUGAAAACUCGAGGCUCAACCUCGAGACGCCGGUUGAAACCAUCUGGCUAGAGUCCGGAAGAGGAGAGUGGAAUUCCUGGUGUAGCGGUGAAAUGCGCAGAUAUCAGGAGGAACACCAGGUGGCGAAGGCG
RNAcentral lists this ribosomal RNA (201 nucleotides) under uncultured bacterium. RNAcentral describes it as "partial 16S ribosomal RNA". It matches the Rfam family "Bacterial small subunit ribosomal RNA", at positions 524 to 723 of the family's 1533-position model. The record is from RNAcentral.